RNAcentral lists this transfer RNA (77 nucleotides) under Chloroflexota bacterium. RNAcentral describes it as "tRNA-Arg". It matches the Rfam family "tRNA". Rfam says of the family: Transfer RNA (tRNA) molecules are approximately 80 nucleotides in length. The record is from RNAcentral. Lineage: Bacteria; Bacillati; Chloroflexota.
GACCCCGUUGCUCAGUGGAUUAGAGCGCUUCCCUGCGGAGGAAGAGGUCGCGCGUUCGAGUCGCGCCGGGGUCGCCA